CCUANGGGCGGCAGCAGCUACGAAAACUGCCCAAUGUGGGAAACCACGAGGCGGGCAUUCCGAGUGCCAACGCAUUGCGUUGGCUGUUCUUUCGCCUAAAAAGCGAGAGAAGUAAGGGCCGGGUAAGACGGGUGCCAGCCGCCGCGGUAAUACACGCGGCCCGAGUGGUGCUCUUUGUUAUUGAGCUUAAAGCGUCCGUAGCCGGCCUUGUAAAUCCUUGGGUAAAUCGGGCAGCUCAACUGUUCGAAUUCCGAGGAGACUGCAAGGCUCGGGACCGGGAGAGGCUAGAGGUACUCUCGGGGUAGGGGUAAAAUCCUGUAAUCCUGAGAGGACCACCAGUGGCGAAGGCGUCUAGCUAGAACGGAUCCGACGGUGAGGGACGAAGCCCUGGGGCGCAAACGGGAUUAGAUACCCCANUANUC
Molecule: ribosomal RNA, 422 nt
Filed under: uncultured bacterium
Lineage: Bacteria
Description: bacterial SSU rRNA
Rfam family: Archaeal small subunit ribosomal RNA
Source: RNAcentral